Vespa mandarinia (Asian giant hornet) is the source of this 2037-nucleotide long non-coding RNA. NCBI's taxonomy places the organism in Eukaryota, Metazoa, Arthropoda, Insecta, Hymenoptera, Vespidae. The record is from RefSeq and is a predicted model, not a curated record.
CAGAUGAAUAUAAUAUACAAUAAUUAAACGGAAUAAAUAAGUAAACAAUGUUAUCGCAAUUUUUAUUUUGACAGAUAUUAUAGAACCCCAAAGGAUGAUCUUCGAUUGUUGAAACUUGUUCGUUAAGUCCAUUUCAAAAAAAAAUAAUUAUCUUACCUGAGGAAAUUCUCUUCCGGGAUCAAACAUGAUGGACAAUUUUUUUGAUGUAUCUACAAAUUAUAGGAUAAAUCUCCAUAGAAAAAAAAAAAAAUAUUAAAGAAAUAAUUUACGAGCAGUACACCCGGUGUAGUAUUUAAACGACGAAGAAUUCAGCCCUCCCCAUUCCCCAUUUCAACAUCCCUUUUCGUAUACCGCUUCACUUCUACGCCAGCCACGUUGAAAAGUGUUUUCCGCAUUAUGAAGAUACGAGGUUAUAUUAUUAUUACGGACUUGCGAGCAGCGGAGGUUCAAACGCGCAACACUUUCCGCUUUGCCAGGAGCUAAUUAAGCGCGUCUUGAUGUAAUAACGACCUAAAUGCAGAUGGAGAGACUCUUAUUCCUAAAAUUAAGUGCACUAAGGUCAACCAAUGGAAAUCACCGGAUGGACUAUCCUUUACCUUCAUCUUCGUGCAUACUUUGAACAUUCCAACAAAUAUCUUAACAAAUACAUCUUAAGGACUCUUAAGAGUGCACACUUAACAAAAAUAUCUUAAGCACUAGUUCGUUUAAAUGUAAUGAUUAUAAUGAAUUUCAUUAAUCGUUUCAUUCAAAAUGACAUUUCAUUCUCAAGAGUAAUCGGUAAUACAGGGUCACAGACAGAUACGAUAGAGCGCGCUUGUACGAACAAAGUCAAAUUCCAAAGUUGCAAAUCGCUACGUCCGAGAUGGUCGAAGCGGACGGUCUUAAUUAUAACGUCUCAAGUAACGAGGGUUGGCAUGGGUCGCGACGUUAAUAUAUGGGUAAGAGAACCUAAACACAACCGUGCCAUUGUAUGUAACGCGGUGUUAGAUCUGCCAAGGCAUUAAUAGUCUCACGUGACGUAAUUAACUCGCGACCACCGAAUUUCCGGCGUUAUAACGUGAUGUAUAUUGUGGCGAAGAGGAAGAUCCAAAAUUCGUCGAGCGAUUAUGAAUCAAGUAGGAUUCAUAUGGCCACCUGUCGCUUGAAAUACUGAUAGAUGUUAUAUCUAGGUUGAUCCUAACACUAUACAACUACUUAAGGAAACUACUAAGUCUUAUCGAUUACGCACGAAUUCAUUACAAAAUAAACGAAUACAGAAAUACGGUGAUUCAUAUAAAUAUGUUUUUUUUUUAUUUUUUUUUAUUUCUUUUUUUAUUUUUUAUGUAAUAAAAUUACGAUUUAAUAUAUGAUAUAAAUGUAUCGCAUUGAAAACAGAAAUUCUAUGAACAAAGAUUCUUUCUCGUAAGGCAGUUAUGUAUAUUUAUUUUCUUUGCUGUAAAUAUAUAUAUGUAUGUAUGUACGCAUACACAAGUUGAUAUAGAAACAAUUAUGUUAUUUACAGGCACGAGAUAAGUAUUUCAAAAGAUAUUGAUCAAUAUUUAUACUUCUUUAUUGCUACUUUUUAAUGGCCACGUAAUAUGAUUUCGGCUAGGAAACUACGAUUUUAGCAAUUUUUUCUAUCGCACUAUUACGUCCAUGAUGUAACCUGAGGAAAAAUAAUUGCAAUAGCUACAACGGAUGACGCAAAGAUAUUGCUGAUAUUUUGAGGUAACUACGAGUUUACUAGCGCGAUCAGCUUAUCGAACUUUUAUAGAUCGAUCACAUGCCGAUCGUAGCUACUAAUCCGUUUUGUACUAAUUACGUGCUUUUGUCUCUUGAUACUAGUUAUCAGGGACAUUUAUCUAUAGCUCGAUCAUCCUUUGAUUAAAUCAAUUCUCUUUAAACUUCUCGAUCUUAGUUUAUAAAUAUUAUUAAACUUAAAUGACAUCAACAUGGUCGGGAUUAUUUAUUGUAAGAAAAAUUAUUGCAAAAUGUUUCAUAUAUAUGUAAUAUAUGAAAUUGUCAUUGAUGAAACUUAAAACUUAUGUACAAACUAAU